AUUGAACGCUGGCGGCAUGCUUUACACAUGCGAGUCGAACGGUAACAGGCCUUCGGGUGCUGACGAGUGGCGCACGGGUGAGUAAUGCAUCGGAACGUGCCCAGAGGUGGGGGAUAACGCAGCGAAAGCCGUGCUAAUACCGCAUGUGAUCUGAGGAUGAAAGCGGGGGACCAGGCAGCAAUGUUUGGCCUCGCGCCUUUGGAGCGGCCGAUGUCAGAUUAGGUAGUUGGUGGGGUAAAGGCCUACCAAGCCGACGAUCUGUAGCUGGUCUGAGAGGACGACCAGCCACACUGGGACUGAGACACGGCCCAGACUCCUACGGGAGGCAGCAGUGGGGAAUUUUGGACAAUGGGCGCAAGCCUGAUCCAGCAAUGCCGCGUGCGGGAAGAAGGCCUUCGGGUUGUAAACCGCUUUUGUACGGAACGAAAAGGCUCUGGCUAAUACCUGGGGCUGAUGACGGUACCGUAAGAAUAAGCACCGGCUAACUACGU
RNAcentral lists this ribosomal RNA (491 nucleotides) under uncultured bacterium. RNAcentral's name for it is "partial 16S ribosomal RNA". It matches the Rfam family "Bacterial small subunit ribosomal RNA", at positions 30 to 506 of the family's 1533-position model. The record is from RNAcentral.